This 192-nucleotide ribosomal RNA is filed under the name Novosphingobium sp. SCN 63-17. RNAcentral's name for it is "partial 16S ribosomal RNA". It matches the Rfam family "Bacterial small subunit ribosomal RNA", at positions 1 to 221 of the family's 1533-position model. The record is from RNAcentral. Lineage: Bacteria; Pseudomonadati; Pseudomonadota; Alphaproteobacteria; Sphingomonadales; Sphingomonadaceae.
AACUUGAGAGUUUGAUCCUGGCUCAGAACGAACGCUGGCGGCAUGCCUAACACAUGCAAGUCGAACGAAGCCUUCGGGCUUAGUGGCGCACGGGUGCGUAACGCGUGGGAAUCUGCCUCUUGCUUCGGAAUAACAGUUAGAAAUGACUGCUAAUACCGGAUGAUGUCUUCGGACCAAAGAUUUAUCGGCAAG